This 1069-nucleotide long non-coding RNA is filed under the name Monodelphis domestica (gray short-tailed opossum). RNAcentral describes it as "lncRNA (ENSMODG00000037685.1)". Lineage: Eukaryota; Metazoa; Chordata; Mammalia; Didelphimorphia; Didelphidae. The record is from RNAcentral.
AUGAUCCCGGGUUUAUUAGUUGUUUUUCCGGACUACUGCGCGGUACACCGACAUCUCUGUGCCUGGGGCUGUCACUUGGUCAACCUCCUCCCUGCCUCCACCCCGAGCGGUUCCUUAGCCUCACUCUCGCCUCCGCUACACCUCAGCCUCCUUCACUGGCAAUCCGUCUUGACCAGCCCUUUUGGGGGUGAGGGGGCGGUGGCACUUCCCCGACCCCACCUCAUCUCCCCCUCUAGCUUGGCUGUCAUCCUUCGAAAUGAUGGCGUUAACCAUUGUUGUGCUGGGACCGUGUCACCAGAACACCAGAGUGGAAGAGGAACCAGAUUAAAAUAUGACUUUGAUUUCUUCAGCUGAAAACUGCCUGUUUAAGUAUUACCUCACACCUAUCUGUGACAGAAAAGGAAAAUGAUCAGUAUUGGAGGAGGGGUGAAAAAUUGGACUAUCGGUGUACUUGGACACUUUGAUGAUUGAUGAUUAGAGUUGUGAUAUGAUCCAGCCAUUCUGGAAAACAAUUUGGAACUAUGCCCAAAGGACUCUAAAUCUGUGAAUUCCCUUGGAUGCAGCAAUAUUGCUACUAGGUCUGUAUCCCAAAGAGAUACUUUAAAAAGGGGGAAAUGACCUAUUUGGACAAAAAUAUUUGGUGGUAGCAAAGAAUUUGGAAUUGAGGGAUUGUCCAUCAAUGGAGGGAUGCCUGAACAAGUUAUGAUAUAUAAUUGUGAAGGAAUACUAGUGUGCUAUAAGAAAUGACAAGCAAUAUGAUUUUGGAAAAACUUACAUGAAUCAAAGCAAAGUGAAGUGAGCAGAACCAAAAGAACAUUAUACAUGACAACAAUAUUUUUUGAUGAACUAUGAGCGUCAUAGUUAUUUGUAGUGAUCCAAGACAACCCCAGGGAUUCAUGAUGAAAAAUGCUAUCUGCUUUUGGAGUAAGACUGAUGGAGUCUAAAUGCAGAUAGAAACACAUACUGUACUUACUUUCCUUUUGUUUGUUUGCUUAAGAUCUCUUCCACAAAAUGGCUAAUAUGAAAAAAUGUUUAAUAUUGUAAAUAUAAAUGUAAAUUUUAUAAAAAA